UGUGACGAUGAGGACUCACCGGAGACAGGACGGCGAAACCGAUGGUUGCUGUUAGUGUGAUUCUUGCCGCCCCAUUUCAAGAAAGGGAGAGAGAAGUUGUGGAGAGGCUGAGACUUCACCGGUGCGGUGGCCAUAAAGAACCCACACUCUUCAAAGAAAACCAAAACGAAGUCACAAUUGCUCGAAAUCGUAACCCAUACAAACAAAUAUAUAGAGAAAGAUAAAGAAAAGCUUCAGGUGAUGAAGAGAUAGAGAUUAAGAGAAGAAAGGGAGGAAGAAGGAGGAUGAGAGAGACGGUUUCCAAAGGAAGCUUUGGAGAAGAGGCGCUGUGUCUUCGUAUCAUAAAA
This is a long non-coding RNA of Neltuma alba, 347 nucleotides long. RefSeq lists it as uncharacterized. Lineage: Eukaryota; Viridiplantae; Streptophyta; Magnoliopsida; Fabales; Fabaceae. The record is from RefSeq and is a predicted model, not a curated record. The transcript is spliced from 3 exons.